Molecule: long non-coding RNA, 640 nt
Filed under: Mytilus galloprovincialis (Mediterranean mussel)
Lineage: Eukaryota; Metazoa; Mollusca; Bivalvia; Mytilida; Mytilidae
Source: RNAcentral
GAUAAUUUUUGGUAUUUAAAAAUUACAAUGAUAGUUGUGUGCACAAAGUCUAAAAAUUAAAAUCCAGAUAGGUUACAAAAAUAUAAAAGAAAAGAUGACAAACAGUAUUGAACAUGCUGAAUGUGCAUGAGUUUAUAAAAUUAGACUUGCUUUAUGCUGGUUCAUAUAAGUAAAUGGGAAUAUUUUAAGUAUUGAUAUUUUUUACGUGUAGGUUAUUGCCCUUGACAGCAGGAAUGGAUUGCAUUCCAAUGUAUUUUUUUUUAAAUUAUUAAAUAUAAGAAUUUCAUAAUAUAUGUGUUUCAUCAAUAAAAUUAGAAAAAUUAAAAAAGCAAAUUUUUUGUCUUGAGAUUAUUUUAUAAUCAUCACUUAGUUGAAAGUAAGAUUUGGACAGAGAACUUCUCAAUGCUGAUCCUCAUUCUCGGUGAAGAAAUAUAAUGUUGACAUAUGUAAGAAAUUUCACUUCAUACAUUUAAAUUUACUGGUUCAUUUUAUAAAGGCAUAUUGUAUAAACAUAGUUAAUGUUGCUGGGCUUCCAAAAUGUUUUAAAUUACUUAUUUUUCAACAACAAAAAUAUGUCAUAAACAGACUUUAAGAAUUUGGUGGAAAUGAAAGCUAGUAAAAUGUUAAAUGUGAAAUUGAA